AGCAUGAAGUGCCCAUGUGGCGUGUUGCUGCCUCAUCAGAGUGGCAUAGACUGUAGGUAGCGGGCAUGAAGUGCCCAUGUGGCAUGUUGCUGCCUCAUCAGAGUGGCAUAGACUGUAGGUAGCGGGCAUGAAGUGCCCAUGUGGCGUGUCGCUGCCUCGUGAGAGUGGCAUAGACUGUAGGUAGCGGGCAUGAAGUGCCCAUGUGGCAUUUCGCUGCCUCGUGAGAGUGGCGUAGACUGUAGGUAGUGGGCAUGAAGUGCCCAUGUGGCAUGUCGCUGACUUGUGAGAGUGGCAUAGACUGUAGGUAGCGGGCAUGAAGUGCCCAUGUGGCAUUUCGCUGCCUCGUGAGAGUGGCGUAGACUGUAGGUAGUGGGCAUGAAGUGCCCAUGUGGCAUGUCGCUGACUUGUGAGAGUGGCAUAGACUGUAGG
Molecule: long non-coding RNA, 429 nt
Organism: Erpetoichthys calabaricus (reedfish)
Lineage: Eukaryota; Metazoa; Chordata; Cladistia; Polypteriformes; Polypteridae
Exons: 4
Source: RefSeq, a predicted model, not a curated record